GAAAGCCUUGGCUUGCCAGGGCGAGUAAAGUGGCGCACGGGUGAGUAACGCGUGGGUAAUCUACCCUUGAAUCGGGGAUAACCCUUCGAAAGGGGGCUAAUACCGGAUAACAUCGGUUAUUUUCGAAUUGACCGAUCAAAAGUGGCCUCUACAUGUAAGCUACUGUUUGAGGAUGAGCCCGCGUACCAUUAGCUAGUUGGCAGGGUAAAGGCCUACCAAGGCGACGAUGGUUAGCUGGUCUGAGAGGAUGAUCAGCCACACUGGAACUGACACACGGUCCAGACUCCUACGGGAGGCAGCAGUGAGGAAUUUUGCGCAAUGGGGGAAACCCUGACGCAGCAACGCCGCGUGAGUGAUGAAGGCUUUCGGGUCGUAAAGCUCUGUCAAGUGGGAAGAACCUACAUAUGGUUAAUACCCAUGUGUACUGACGGUACCACUGAAGGAAGCACCGGCUAACUCCGUGCCAGCAGCCGCGGUAA
Molecule: ribosomal RNA, 479 nt
Filed under: uncultured delta proteobacterium
Lineage: Bacteria; Deltaproteobacteria
Description: bacterial SSU rRNA
Rfam family: Bacterial small subunit ribosomal RNA
Source: RNAcentral